Molecule: long non-coding RNA, 1178 nt
Organism: Gadus morhua (Atlantic cod)
Lineage: Eukaryota; Metazoa; Chordata; Actinopteri; Gadiformes; Gadidae
Exons: 2
Source: RefSeq, a predicted model, not a curated record
GUGAGUGAGGAUUAUUUGGAAGUGAGCUAGGCCUUCGUUCUAGAACUAAACACUAUUUACAACAAGUCCAGUGCAAACACUGCUUCACAUAAAAAAAUGCAAGUCUAAACUAUCCAUUUCCUGCUCCGUUUGGCCCCGACACAAAACUUCUCAGCUCACACAAACAACUGCAUAUCUUUAACUAGGAUCAUAGCAAUCAUAGUAGCAGUAAACAGAAAGGGACGAACAAGUGGCUUCUUCCUCCCUGGCCUGCCGAACCUAGAAUUAUGACGGAGCCACGGAACACAAUGCAAUCCUGAUUUACUGUCCGGUUUUCCCCUCUUUGUGACAGGGCGGGACGUGUGUCACCGUACGAGCGUGUGCGCGGUGAACCCUUCCCUCUACCCAAAUGUUUGCUGAAACGGCUGAAAGGUCCAUUUCUAGAGGUUGACGGUGCGCGUCCUACUACCUCAUCAACAACGAGAAUGAACCCGGGCCUCAGCGAUACACACCGCCCGUACAGAGCAAUGCAAACCGGGACCCCCCCUGAUUCCAGCGAUGUAUCCAAAGGGGGGCGCCGCAGGUGAACCCCAACCCGCCACGCCCGCUAACUCUGCAGGAAGUACCAAAACCGGCGACCCGUGGCACCGGAACACAGCCAGCACCACGCUGCAGUAACUCCUCCACCACCAGCGCCACCGCCGGCCUCCCUCCACCCUCCACCUCCACCCAGGGGUCCUAUCACUAACAGGCUUCUAAGAGGCUUUAGCUUGCCCCCUCCACAAAGAGCUGCCUGUUGUGGCCAGCCCCGGGAGUGGGCCGGGACAGGUGGCGGUCCCCACAGGGGAGUGUGUGUGAGUGUGUGUGUGUGUGUGUGGUUGACUGCUAGAGUAAUCGGAGUCAAGUCGGACACAAAACAAGCCGAGGUGUGUGUGUGUGUGUGUGUGUGUGUGUGUGUGUGUGUGUGUGUGUGUGUGUGUGUGUGUGUGUGUGUGUGUGUGUGUGUGUGUGUGUGUGUGUGCGUGUGGGGGGGUUUUAGUCGACUGUUUAUGCAUCUGUUCAAAAGGAGAUUGGUUUUGUGAGCGUGCGGCACACAGACUGGAUAUCAUAUUGCCUCUUGGGGAAAUGUUUAGAAGAUAUAAAUGACACUGAUGUUAGACGAAGAUAAAGAAAACACAGGAAUAAAUGAGGGAUAAACA